This is a non-coding RNA of Canis lupus familiaris (dog), 105 nucleotides long. Lineage: Eukaryota; Metazoa; Chordata; Mammalia; Carnivora; Canidae. The record is from Rfam.
AGGAGGAACAACCGCAGUGGCGGGGCCAGCUCUGGAGCCCUGGAGUCAGCCCCCGCAGUAGCUCCAGAGCUCUCCGUCUGCAGGGCCUGGAGGCUCCGGGGCGGG